Molecule: ribosomal RNA, 497 nt
Filed under: uncultured bacterium
Lineage: Bacteria
Description: partial 16S ribosomal RNA
Rfam family: Bacterial small subunit ribosomal RNA
Source: RNAcentral
GAUGAACGCUGGCGGCGUGCCUAAUACAUGCAAAUCGAGCGAACAGAUAAGGAGCUUGCUCCUUUGACGUUAGCGGCGGACGGGUGAGUAACACGUGGAUAACCUACCUAUAAGACUGGGAUAACUUCGGGAAACCGGAGCUAAUACCGGAUAACAUAUUGAACCGCAUGGUUCAAUAGUGAAAGGCGGCUUUGCUGUCACUUAUAGAUGGAUCCGCGCCGUAUUAGCUAGUUGGUAAGGUAACGGCUUACCAAGGCAACGAUACGUAGCCGACCUGAGAGGGUGAUCGGCCACACUGGAACUGAGACACGGUCCAGACUCCUACGGGAGGCAGCAGUAGGGAAUCUUCCGCAAUGGGCGAAAGCCUGACGGAGCAACGCCGCGUGAGUGAUGAAGGUCUUCGGAUCGUAAAACUCUGUUAUCAGGGAAGAACAAAUGUGUAAGUAACUGUACACAUCUUGACGGUACCUGAUCAGAAAGCCACGGCUAACUACGUG